GGGCCCGUAGCUCAGCUGGUCAGAGCAGCGGACUCAUAAUCCGUCGGUCCCUGGUUCGAAUCCAGGCGGGCCCA
This 74-nucleotide transfer RNA is filed under the name Solirubrobacterales bacterium. Its description in RNAcentral is "tRNA-Ile". It matches the Rfam family "tRNA". Rfam says of the family: Transfer RNA (tRNA) molecules are approximately 80 nucleotides in length. Their secondary structure includes four short double-helical elements and three loops (D, anti-codon, and T loops). The record is from RNAcentral. RNAcentral also lists the same sequence under 3 other names. Lineage: Bacteria; Bacillati; Actinomycetota; Thermoleophilia; Solirubrobacterales.